UGCCCUUCCCCAGCUGGCGUCAUCACCAUUUCCCUCUGUUUAUCGCUUCGUAAGCAUCACCCCAGCAACCACAGCGUGGCCCAGGCGGGGAUGCUGGCUGCAGGUGGGCACCGUGCCUCGGAAACAAAGAUCCUGCUUCCACCCUGACAUCUCCAGUGCCACUAACGGGAGAAGGGGACGUGGGGAAAUGCAGGGAUCAUCAAGGGCACCAGAACAGGAGGGGGAAUGACUGGCAAGGCAAGGUGAGAGCAUUGCAGUGGACUGCAGCAUGAGACCACCAAGCCACCCUGAGACACAAAGUCAGAUGUUGCCUGGGGUGCCUGAGCAGCAGCGGCGUCUUUCAGACACGUGGAGGACGGGCUCUGAAGCCCUGAAGGCGUCAGGAAGAGCAGUUUGGCGCACAGCAACUCAAGAAAGAUACAGGAAAAGACCAGAGGAAAAUGCCCCUGGAGAAGACGCACGUUCCUUCAGCUCACGG
RNAcentral lists this long non-coding RNA (478 nucleotides) under Anser brachyrhynchus (Pink-footed goose). Its description in RNAcentral is "lncRNA (ENSABRG00000001590.1)". Lineage: Eukaryota; Metazoa; Chordata; Aves; Anseriformes; Anatidae. The record is from RNAcentral.